Molecule: ribosomal RNA, 1433 nt
Filed under: uncultured Alphaproteobacteria bacterium
Lineage: Bacteria; Pseudomonadati; Pseudomonadota; Alphaproteobacteria
Description: uncultured alpha proteobacterium 16S ribosomal RNA
Rfam family: Bacterial small subunit ribosomal RNA
Source: RNAcentral
AGAGUUUGAUCAUGGCUCAGAACGUACGCUGGCGGCACGCCUAACACAUGCAAGUCGAACGAAGUAGCAAUACUUAGUGGCAGACGGGUGAGUAACAUGUAGGUAUCUGCCCUUUGGCCUGGAAUAACACGAGGAAACUUGUGCUAAUACCGGAUAAGUCUUUACGGAGAAAGCUUUAUGCACCAUUGGAUGAGCCUGCACUUGAUUAGUUUGUUGGUGGGGUAAUGGCCUACCAAGACUUUGAUCAAUAGCUGAUUUGAGAGGAUGAUCAGCCACAUUGGGACUGAGACACGGCCCAAACUCCUACGGGAGGCAGCAGUGGGGAAUCUUGCACAAUGGAGGAAACUCUGAUGCAGCGAUGCCGCGUGAGUGAAGAAGGCCCUUGGGUUGUAAAGCUCUUUCGUCGGGGAAGAAAAUGACUGUACCCGAAUAAGAAGGUCCGGCUAACUUCGUGCCAGCAGCCGCGGUAAUACGAAGGGACCUAGCGUAGUUCGGAAUUACUGGGCUUAAAGAGUUCGUAGGUGGUUGAAAAAGUUGGUGGUGAAAUCCCAGAGCUUAACUCUGGAACUGCCAUCAAAACUUUUCAGCUAGAGUUUGAUAGAGGAAAGCAGAAUUUCUAGUGUAGAGGUGAAAUUCGUAGAUAUUAGAAAGAAUACCAAUUGCGAAGGCAGCUUUCUGGAUCAUUACUGACACUGAGGAACGAAAGCAUGGGUAGCGAAGAGGAUUAGAUACCCUCGUAGUCCAUGCCGUAAACGAUGUGUGUUAGACGUUGGAAAUUUAUUUUCAGUGUCGCAGCGAAAGCGAUAAACACACCGCCUGGGGAGUACGACCGCAAGGUUAAAACUCAAAUGAAUUGACGGGGACCCGCACAAGUAGUGGAGCAUGUGGUUUAAUUCGAAGAUACGCGCAGAACCUUACCAACACUUGACAUGUUCGUCGCGACUUUAAGAGAUUAAAGUUUUCGGUUCGGCCGGACGAAACACAGGUGCUGCAUGGCUGUCGUCAGCUCGUGUCGUGAGAUGUUGGGUUAAGUCCCGCAACGAGCGCAACCCUCACUUUUAGUUGCCAUCAUUUAGUUGGGCACUCUGAAAGAACUGCCAGUGAUAAGCUGGAGGAAGGUGGGGAUGACGUCAAGUCCUCAUGGCCCUUACGUGUUGGGCUACACACGUGCUACAAUGGUAUUUACAACAGGAAGCAAGACAGCGAUGUUAAGCAAAUCCUUAAAAAAUACCUCAGUUCGGAUUGCACUCUGCAACUCGAGUGCAUGAAGCUGGAAUUACUAGUAAUCGUGGAUCAGCGUGCCACGGUGAAUGCGUUCCCGGGUCUUGUACACACCGCCCGUCACACCAUGGGAGUUGGUUCUACCUUAAGGCAAGGUUUCAAACCCUUGACCACGGUAUAGUCAGCGACUGGGGUGAAGUCGUAACAAGGUA